UGAUGCAUCAUAAUAACUAGUGUAGUGUACAACCGAUCUACACUCGUUAUCGUGACGCUCGCGCUGAAUGAAUUCCCGCUUCUCGGCGGAAGAUGACCGCGUGUCCGAAUAUAUCACUCGAUUCUUAAAGUGGACUAUAUAAGUGAACUAAUGUAGUUAAAUGCACAAAACAAAUUAAUUAUAAGAUUUCUAUUACAUAAGUUUUAAUGGCGGAUGCUUGUUGUCACAUUGAUUUCAACCCGUUUGUCGUGAAUCGACUAUAUCUGAAAAUGUGAACCCCUUAGGAAUGUCAAUGAAGCACCUGACCACACAUUUUAACAAUGUGUCGGGACUUAAUUGAGACUUGAGGAGUAAACGACAUUUCCCGCAGAGAACGAGCACGCGCGGCGCAGACUCCAGGUGAUUGUGCGUGUCAUUUCAGCUGUUGUCAUGGACAGCGGGUGGGAUGUUCCAUGUGUCAGUGUCUGAUGUGAGGGGCCGGGCUGAAGAGACCCAUGGGGUUUCUCUUGGAGGAAGCAGGAGAUGAUCGGGGAGAUAGGAGUAAGUAAUUAGAUCCUGGGGUGAGUGCAGAUCUCUCAGACAUGACCAGCGUCGAGUCCCUGGCUCUGUAGAUCCACUCCAGGCCGUGUUAGCUGUCUCUUUGAGCUUCUCUGGCCCACGGUCCUUAGGAUGUUUUCCAGUAUGACCGCCUGCGGACCAGAGCCUUCCCUCGAGACUGGCAUCCAGUCAUUAACAACUGGCCAUGUUGCCGAGAUCUAAGAGAACAAGUUCAACACAUUCAGAUCUGGGAGCAAAUGUAAAAACAGAGCGGUGUCUGGUGUGUAGUGUAGAUGUACGCAAUAACAAGACGGCGGUCAAAGGUCUGAUUCUUUUGUUUGAAUGGAAGGGAGAUGAAAGUUUUGUUUUGGAUGCUUUUUUUUGUAGCUCUCUCUAUGAAGCCUCAAAGCUGAAAAACAAGUUCGGAAGCCAGCCGCCAUGGGCGGUAAGACUCACUAACUUAGAUUAUUAUUUUUUGUCUCCCAAGGGAUGUUUGUUCAGAAAUGAAAAUCAAUGGGAAAUGUCAAGGGAAAAAGAAAUAUGUACCUGAGUUUGCAAACUUGGUGGUAGAUGCUUGAUACACAGUUUUGGUAACUAUACGUAUGUGUUUUGGUUUAGUUUACAGAAGAAAAGACAUGUGUACUGCAGCUGUGGAUUCUUUUAGAUUCAUAAUCCAUAUUUGUAGUGCCUUAGUUAUUAACUAAGAAUAAUUAAAUUAUUUAAAUUAAUAAAUGCGCACCUUCGCGCACCUUCUCCGAAACCGGUCCGCCUAUGUGGAAUGAUCUGCCUGCUGCUACAAGAUCUGCAGAUUCUGUAGCCAUCUUUAAGAAACACCUGAAAACACAUCUCUUCCGUCAACAUCUUACUGAUCUGUUCUGACUUUAUUUUCUUCUCUACUCUUUUCUUCUCUACCCAUAAAAAAAAGGAUGAAUGAAUUAUUCUGUAUACUGUGUUAGGCUAUAUGAGACCACUCUUCUUUUUGAUUGCACUUAUGCUUUUGUUGUACUUGUGCUGUCCCAAUUGCUUCCAUUACCUACCCCACUUGUAAGUCGCUUUGGAUAAAAGCGUCUGCUAAAUGACUAAAUGUAAAUGUAAAUGAAUGAACCAGACCGACUUAGCCAAAAAUCAAUGUCUCUUAGGUUAAAUCAGGUAAAAUAGUAACAUAAAAAAACAUAAAAUGAGGAGGCAGA
Long non-coding RNA from Triplophysa dalaica, 1727 nucleotides. RefSeq lists it as uncharacterized. The record is from RefSeq and is a predicted model, not a curated record. The transcript has 3 exons. NCBI's taxonomy places the organism in Eukaryota, Metazoa, Chordata, Actinopteri, Cypriniformes, Nemacheilidae.